GGCCUGAGUUGGAAAGAGGCCGAGGGGCGGGGCUCCGGGAAAAUGAAGGGGCAGAUUUUCGGUGGGCAGGGCUUGCCAGCGAGACUGAGCGAGUUGGGGACACACAGUUCACGAGUAAUUCAGCUCAAAUAUUCCUUCAUCUCAUUUCUCUUGAAUGGAGGAUGGCACAAACCUAUGGAUGCUCCUCCUCUGGUACUGAAGAAACACAACUGACUUUUGGAAGAAACUGAGAAGUAAGAAGAGAGAAACAAGACUUGUUGCCUUCAGCAUCCCUGGGUUCUCUCUCCAGAUGCUUUACAGACAGACUUUAUAAACUUUGGAUGGUCAAUUCCUUUUUAUGACAACCAAAGAGGGAGAUGUUGUCUGUAAAAUGCCUAUAAUAUAUUCUGAAUUCCACUGAAAAUGAGAAAGCAAAUUAUAAUCAAUAUACAUUGAA
Pteropus alecto (black flying fox) is the source of this 436-nucleotide long non-coding RNA. RefSeq lists it as uncharacterized. The record is from RefSeq and is a predicted model, not a curated record. Lineage: Eukaryota; Metazoa; Chordata; Mammalia; Chiroptera; Pteropodidae. The transcript is spliced from 3 exons.